Molecule: ribosomal RNA, 516 nt
Filed under: uncultured bacterium
Lineage: Bacteria
Description: bacterial SSU rRNA
Rfam family: Bacterial small subunit ribosomal RNA
Source: RNAcentral
CCUACGGGAGGCAGCAGUGGGGAAUCUUGCGCAAUGGGCGAAAGCCUGACGCAGCAACGCCGCGUGCGGGAUGAAGGCCUUCGUGGUUGUAAACCGCUUUCAGCAGGGACGAAAAUGACGGUACCUGCAGAAGAAGCCCCGGCUAACUACGUGCCAGCAGCCGCGGUAAUACGUAGGGGGCAAGCGUUGUCCGGAAUCAUUGGGCGUAAAGAGCUCGUAGGCGGUUCAGUAAGUCAGGUGUGAAAGCUCCGAGCUCAACUCGGAGAGGCCACCUGAUACUGCUGUGACUAGAAUCCAGUAGGGGAGUGUGGAACUCCUGGUGUAGCGGUGAAAUGCGCAGAUAUCAGGAAGAACACCAGCGGCGAAGGCGGCACUCUGGGCUGGAAUUGACGCUGAGGAGCGAAAGUGUGGGUAGCAAACAGGAUUUAGAUACCCCUGGUAGUCCGACACCGUAACCGUACGGUACGACUAGUAGUGGGUAGGGAGUCACCUUACCGUUCGUCGUCGUCGUACGAC